RNAcentral lists this long non-coding RNA (782 nucleotides) under Rattus norvegicus (Norway rat). RNAcentral describes it as "long non-coding RNA NONRATT013975". The stretch from base 73 to 359 matches the Rfam family "7SK RNA". The record is from RNAcentral. Lineage: Eukaryota; Metazoa; Chordata; Mammalia; Rodentia; Muridae.
AGCUCUCAAUGCUUUCUCUCCAUAUGAGGAUUUACAGGAAGGCAGACACUUGCAGAAAGAACGGAUCUCCUUAAGUACGAGGACAAUUUGAGGACAUGCCUCCUUAUGAAUCACGAAGGUGAGUGCGGCUGAUCUGGCUGGCUAGGCAAGGGUCCCCUUCCUAUUUCAGAAUUCAGAGUGCUUACUGCUUCCUGCUCUAGACCUCCUAGAGAGAAGGAGGACCAUUCUUUAGCCCAGGGCAUGCAAGUAAAUGCAUUCCCCCAAUAGAAUCUCCAAACAAAUUCUCAGAAGCAGCCUCAAGGGGAGGUUCAGGAAAGAGAGAAGAACCCACCGGGGGCUAUGUUGGGACCUCCACUCAUCAGAUCCCGUUGGGCCACUUAGGCAACCACCACCCAGGUAGUAAGAAAAAAGUGUGGUGAAGUGUUGAGAUAAAAACAAAACAAAACAAAAAAAGCAGUGGAUCUCACUAGUUCUGGCUCCAGGGGCCAUAGAAACUAACACUAAUUUAUGUCAGCGGCUCCACGCUGCCCUCAAGUACUUUCUGACCUGCUCACUCUCUGGGAGACAUUUCAACACCGCACCCUGUCAGACAGCCCUGGCCCCACUCACAGCUCUAGUGGCUAGUUUCCACCACACCAGGCACACACAUCCCAAUUCUGUGGUGGGCCGGUUUGUCUGGCCAUCAGGCACUCUCUUGAACUCAAUUAAGUCCCCACAUGAAAGAACACAUCACACAAUAUCCUCUGAUCCAAUUGAUAAGAUAUAAUUUGACCAUCUAGACA